UGCAGUCGAGCGGUAGCACAGGAGAGCUUGCUCUCUGGGUGACGAGCGGCGGACGGGUGAGUAAUGUCUGGGAAACUGCCUGAUGGAGGGGGAUAACUACUGGAAACGGUAGCUAAUACCGCAUAANGUCUACGGACCAAAGUGGGGGACCUUCGGGCCUCAUGCCAUCAGAUGUGCCCAGAUGGGAUUAGCUAGUAGGUGGGGUAAUGGCUCACCUAGGCGACGAUCCCUAGCUGGUCUGAGAGGAUGACCAGCCACACUGGAACUGAGACACGGUCCAGACUCCUACGGGAGGCAGCAGUGGGGAAUAUUGCACAAUGGGCGCAAGCCUGAUGCAGCCAUGCCGCGUGUGUGAAGAAGGCCUUCGGGUUGUAAAGCACUUUCAGCGAGGAGGAAGGGNNNNNUGUUAAUAGCACUGUGCAUUGACGUUACUCGCAGAAGAAGCACCGGCUAACUCCGUGCCAGCAGCCGCGGUAAUACGGAGGGUGCAAGCGUUAAUCGGAAUUACUGGGCGUAAAGCGCACGCAGGCGGUUUGUUAAGUCAGAUGUGAAAUCCCCGCGCUUAACGUGGGAACUGCAUUUGAAACUGGCAAGCUAGAGUCUUGUAGAGGGGGGUAGAAUUCCAGGUGUAGCGGUGAAAUGCGUAGAGAUCUGGAGGA
This 659-nucleotide ribosomal RNA is filed under the name uncultured bacterium. Its description in RNAcentral is "bacterial SSU rRNA". It matches the Rfam family "Bacterial small subunit ribosomal RNA", at positions 56 to 705 of the family's 1533-position model. The record is from RNAcentral.